GGAUGUGGCUUAGUGGUAGAGCACUUGCCUAGCAUGCACAAGGCCCUAGGUUGUAUCCCCAGCAUUGCA
This 69-nucleotide transfer RNA is filed under the name Marmota monax (woodchuck). RNAcentral describes it as "tRNA.Ala". The record is from RNAcentral. Lineage: Eukaryota; Metazoa; Chordata; Mammalia; Rodentia; Sciuridae.